Molecule: long non-coding RNA, 975 nt
Organism: Herpailurus yagouaroundi (jaguarundi)
Lineage: Eukaryota; Metazoa; Chordata; Mammalia; Carnivora; Felidae
Exons: 2
Source: RefSeq, a predicted model, not a curated record
AGCUGUGAGGCCCCGCUCGCCCCUGCCCCCCGCUGUUUCCUUGGACAUUCUGACCGAACGUGUGAACUAGUGUGGUUCCCGGGACUUCAGCUGUAGGUGGAACGUUGCUAGAGGCCAGGAGGAAGGACAGUGGCACCUGGGUGGUGCCAUAACUCCCAGCUGGUACAGGCCCGCCCGGCUGCUUCCAGCUGCUCUGUUAGUGGCUUGAUUAGCAUCAGUAGUUGCAGGAGUUGUGGGCGGGGAUUGUGGACAGAGCAGGUGGCUCCCUGCCCGGGGCAGCCUGUCCAGUCUCCCUGUGUGUGGGGACACAGCUGGUGGCCCACAGCCUCACUCACCCCUGACUUUGGCAGCAUGGCCUUAGGUGCUUUUUCCGGUGGGGCAGGUGUAAGGUGGGCCCCGCGCAGCUGCGUCCGGACUCCCAUGGGCAGGGGCAGCCAUGGGAGGGCCCGAGAGCAGUGUAGCGACCCGACCGCCUUUGCAGUCCUUAGAAAGGCGACUCCUGAGUGGCUCAGUCAGUUAAGCAAGUCUGACUCUUGAUUUCGGCUCAGGUCAUGACCUCCAGGUUCGUGGGUUCGAGCUCUGUGCCAGGUUCUUGUGCUGACAGUGCAGAGCCUGCUUGGGAUCCUCUCUCCCCACUCUGCUGGUGCGUGCUCUCAAGGAAAGCUGUGUCCAGAACUUUCCAGAAGUAGCCUAAGGAGCAGAGGCAGAGCUGAGCACACAGCUCUUGCUUCCCACCUUUGGGAGCGAGCCUUUGAAAAGGACCCUGGAAUGUGAGUGGUGACUUCAGAUCACUGAACCUGUGCUCGCGUGGCUCAUGAUUGGGGUGAUAGCCCGGAGGCGCCUUGUGGUAAUUGUGUGUUGUGCGCAUUGAAGGUAAACUUGACCUUUUGAAGAAACAGAUUAAAUUCUCAAGAUACGUGCUGCCUUUUUUUCUUUUAUUUUUAUUUUAAGUGAUUUUAUUUAUUUUUGAGAGAG